AACGAACGCUGGCGGCAGGCUUAACACAUGCAAGUCGAACGCCCCGCAAGGGGAGUGGCAGACGGGUGAGUAACGCGUGGGAAUCUACCCAGAUCUUCGGAACAACUGAGGGAAACUUCAGCUAAUACCGGAUACGCCCUACGGGGGAAAGAUUUAUCGGUUCUGGAUGAGCCCGCGUUGGAUUAGCUAGUUGGUGGGGUAAUGGCCUACCAAGGCGACGAUCCCAUAGCUGGUCUGAGAGGAUGAUCAGCCACACUGGGACUGAGACACGGCCCAGACUCCUACGGGAGGCAGCAGUGGGGAAUAUUGGACAAUGGGCGAAAGCCUGAUCCAGCCAUGCCGCGUGAGUGAUGAAGGCCUUAGGGUGUAAAGCUCUUUCAGUGGGGAAGAUAAUGACGGUACCCACAGAAGAAGCCCCGGCUAAACUUCGUUGCCAGCAGCCGACGGUAAACACGAGAGUA
This 461-nucleotide ribosomal RNA is filed under the name uncultured bacterium. Its description in RNAcentral is "bacterial SSU rRNA". It matches the Rfam family "Bacterial small subunit ribosomal RNA", at positions 29 to 534 of the family's 1533-position model. The record is from RNAcentral.